AUCGUGCAGAGCAAGCAUCACACCAUGGCGUAUGAGUGUUCCUCUGUGUAGACUCAACCUGCGCCUCGCCGUCCCCCAUUCGCACACCCGAUGCCCGGGGGUCGCUACGGACUUGAAAUCGCCGCACCGCACCCUCCACCUCAGGAUUCCACGGGAGAUGAGUGAAUAAAUGACUGAACAUUGUGCAUAAACAGCCAAUUUAUAUAUUCAUAAGAUUAAGACAUUUUGUAUUCCUCAUCCGUUAUGCAAAACAAAGACUAGACACUGUGGAGUCAUCUCUCGUGAGAACAAACGGACAGACAGCUGGGAAGCACACCAGCCACCAGCUGGGAGUCUCCAAAUCCAGGAGAGGGUUCAAAUCAUAGAAAAGCUGCAGAGCCACCGGGUCUCAGAGUUUCCCGCGGGAACGCUGGGACUCGCUACCAAUCCCAUGAGCGCACCUGGGGAUUUUAACGUCUGGUGGGAUGGUGGAUUCCGAGUGUGGUUGGACAGGGCUGGAGUGCCCUGAAAGGCAGGCUUGAAUGCUCUCCUGCCG
This 535-nucleotide small RNA is filed under the name Pongo abelii (Sumatran orangutan). Its description in RNAcentral is "processed transcript". The record is from RNAcentral. Lineage: Eukaryota; Metazoa; Chordata; Mammalia; Primates; Hominidae.